GGAAGUUGGGGCAAUGGUCUUUUCUAACUGUUGCUUUGGCAAUUUGCUUAGUAGCCAGCACUGUUGUUGCUGAUUACUCUUAUGAGUAUACUUCACCCUCACCUUCUCACAACUCUAACAAGUACUACAAAUCACCAUCUCCUUCCAAGUAUCAUGUGCCUACUCCAUAUUACAAGAAACCUUAUCCAUCACAUUAUUACUACAAGUCACCAGCACCUUCAAAGCACGCUUAUUACAAAUCGCCAUCACCAGCAAAAUAUUACAAGUCACAUGUUCCUUCAAAGCACUACUACAAGUCACCGGUUGCAACAAAGUAUUACUACAAGUUCCCAACUCCUUCAAAGCAUUAUUACAAAUCACCCGUUCCUUCUAAGUAUUACUACAAGUCCCCAUCACCCGCAAAGUACUACAAGUCCCCAUCUCCAACAAAGUACUACAAGUCACCUACUCCAUCAACAAACUAUUACUACAAAUCACCAUCUCCAACAAAAUAUUACAAAUCACCCACUCCAUCUAAAUACUACAAGUCACCUUCACCAACAAAAUAUUACAAGUCACCAGUUUACUACAAGUCACCUCCACCUCCACCAAAAUACUACGAGCAACCACCAACUUAUUACAAUUCUCCACCUCCACCAUACUACCAAGAAUCUACACCUUCCUAUAAAUCUUCUCCACCUCCUCCAAAGACCUAUGAACAAUCACCUACAUACUACUCAUCUCCACCACCACCAUACUACAAAGAAACACCAACCUAUGCCUCCCCGCCGCCACCUGUGAAGUACGAGGAACCUGUCACCUAUGCUUCACCGCCGCCACCUGAGAAGUACGAGGUUCCUCCCACCUAUGCUUCACCUCCACCCCCACCACCAACCUAUUACUAGUAGUCAAAACCAUUUUCUCAAUCAUUUU
Molecule: unclassified non-coding RNA, 912 nt
Filed under: Hevea brasiliensis (rubber tree)
Lineage: Eukaryota; Viridiplantae; Streptophyta; Magnoliopsida; Malpighiales; Euphorbiaceae
Source: RNAcentral